AGUGAACGCUGGCGGUAGGCCUAACACAUGCAAGUCGAACGGCAGCACAGGAGAGCUUGCUCUCUGGGUGGCGAGUGGCGGACGGGUGAGGAAUACAUCGGAAUCUACUUUUUCGUGGGGGAUAACGUAGGGAAACUUACGCUAAUACCGCAUACGACCUACGGGUGAAAGCAGGGGACCUUCGGGCCUUGCGCGAUUGAAUGAGCCGAUGUCGGAUUAGCUAGUUGGCGGGGUAAAGGCACACCAAGGCGACGAGCCGUAGCUGGUCUGCGAGGAUGAUCAGCACCACUGGAACUGAGACACGGUCCAGACUCCUACGGGAGGCAGCAGUGGGGAAUAUUGGACAAUGGGCGCAAGCCUGACCCAGCCAUACCGCGUGGGUGAAGAAGGCCUUCGGGUUGUAAAGCCCUUUUGUUGGGAAAGAAAUCCAGCUGGCUAAUACCCGGUUGGGAUGACGGUACCCAAAGAAUAAGCACCGGCUAACUUCGUGCCAGCAGCCGCCGCGG
RNAcentral lists this ribosomal RNA (506 nucleotides) under uncultured bacterium. RNAcentral's name for it is "partial 16S ribosomal RNA". It matches the Rfam family "Bacterial small subunit ribosomal RNA", at positions 29 to 523 of the family's 1533-position model. The record is from RNAcentral.